Molecule: ribosomal RNA, 320 nt
Filed under: uncultured Dujardina
Lineage: Eukaryota; Cercozoa; Glissomonadida
Description: SSU rRNA
Rfam family: Eukaryotic small subunit ribosomal RNA
Source: RNAcentral
GAUUUCUGGUUGGAUACACCUAGCCCGCCACGGUUUCGUGUGUGAGUGCUGGUUUGUGUAUCUACCAUCCUUCUAGUACUAUAGUAUUAAGCAAUUAGUAUUAUAGAACUAGAUCUUUUACUUUGAAAAAAUUAGAGUGUUUCAAGCAGGCAUGUUGCUAUGAAUACAUUAGCAUGGAAUAAUAAUUUAGGACUUCGGUUCUAUUUUGUUGGUUUCUAGAACUGCAGUAAUGAUUGAUAGGGAUAGUUGGGGGUGCUAGUAUUCAGUGGCCAGAGGUGAAAUUCUCGGAUUCACUGAAGACUAACUUAUGCGAAAGCAUU